UACGGAGGAUGCGAGCGUUAUCCGGAUUUAUUGGGUUUAAAGGGUGCGUAGGCGGCUUUUUAAGUCAGCGGUGAAAUUUUGCAGCUUAACUGUAACAGUGCCGUUGAUACUGGGGAGCUAGGAUUUGGUUGCUGUGGGUGGAAUGUGUGGUGUAGCGGUGAAAUGCUUAGAGAUCACACAGAAUAUCGAUUGCGCAGGCAGCUUACUAAACUACUACUGACGCUCAGGCACGAAGGCGUGGGGAUCAAACAGGAUUAGA
This 259-nucleotide ribosomal RNA is filed under the name uncultured prokaryote. RNAcentral describes it as "partial 16S ribosomal RNA". It matches the Rfam family "Bacterial small subunit ribosomal RNA", at positions 524 to 782 of the family's 1533-position model. The record is from RNAcentral.